This 963-nucleotide long non-coding RNA is filed under the name Zea mays. Its description in RNAcentral is "long non-coding RNA (ZMAY_LNC002841)". The record is from RNAcentral. Lineage: Eukaryota; Viridiplantae; Streptophyta; Magnoliopsida; Poales; Poaceae.
GCCUACAGACACCUCGAGGACCGCCCCCUCUCCCCCAGUCCCACUCCAACCGCACCACUGUGGGCGUCGCCCCCGAGCUCGGACCACGACCUUUCCACCCUCCGUGCCCGCUGUCGCUCCUCGUUGCCGGCCGCCAUCGAUCUUAGCGGCGGUGUCGACGCUUGCAUGGACGAUGCCCUCAAUGUGUUCGGUGAAAUGGGCACACGGUAUGCAUUUUUCCCCUUUAAGUAUUUGGUUGCUGAUUCUGUAUAGCCCCCUGUCUUUAUCCGUUGUACAAAGAUUGACAUGAGCUCAGUGCAAGUGUUGGGAUGGUGACUAUCAUCCACGGGGGCUGGACAUCGAGGUUAUAUCGAGGCUGAUACACAGACCGUCUCUUCACGCAUCGCUUCUCAUAGCGUCUCAGUUCCUCGAUCCAGAAAUGGUGUGCUCAUCAUGUUGUCCGUGGCCUCUAUUUUCUCAGGCGCAAAUGCACCUCUCCUCGGCUAUGUUCCAACUUUGUUUAGCUGGGGAGAGAAAGAUAAGCCCGAUUACAUAUCCAUUUUAGUGUUCUAAUGACGUCACCAAUAGUUCCCAUUUAAGAGUAAUCAAUAAGCUCACAACAUAAAUAAAUUACAGCAGAGUACAUUGCUUAUUGGAGCAUGGGUGAAACCUGUUUAUUAAGUUUUAUGCUGCUCAUAAGUUUCCGUUUAGGCAAGGAAAAACUAAUAUGUAUCCUUACAAGCUGGAUUCAUUUUUUAAGUUAUUUAUAUUUUAGAAUUUCGGUUGUUCUGAGGAUUUUAACUAUUUGGUGAAGUAUGAAUGACUUGUCCAGCCACAUGGGCUUUACUAUAGGUUAGGUUCAAAUACUUGCAUGCUGAAAUAUGUAUAUCUUCAAGCAUGGUCUCAUAUCUAUAUAUUUUCCGCCGCCGUCUUAAAUCUCAGCUACCUCUAGCUAUGCCGUUGAUACAAAAAAUACACUGAUUU